UGGGGAAUAUUGCACAAUGGGCGAAAGCCUGAUGCAGCAACGCCGCGUGAGUGAUGAAGGCCUUCGGGUUGUAAAGCUCUGUCUUUUGGGACGAUAAUGACGGUACCAAAGGAGGAAGCCACGGCUAACUACGUGCCAGCAGCCGCGGUAAUACGUAGGUGGCAAGCGUUGUCCGGAUUUACUGGGCGUAAAGGAUGCGUAGGCGGAUUUUUAAGUGAGAUGUGAAAACCCUAGCUUAACUUGGGGACUGCAUUUCAUACUGGAAAUCUAGAGUGCGGGAGAGGAGAAUGGAAUUCCUAGUGUAGCGGUGAAAUGCGUAGAGAUUAGGAAGAACACCAGUGGCGAAGGCGAUUCUCUGGACCGUACUGACGCUGAGGCAUGAAAGCGUGGGUAGCAAACAGGAUUAGAUACCCUGGUAGUCCACGCCGUAAACGAUGAGUACUAGGUGUAGGAGGUAUCGACCCCUUCUGUGCCGCAGUUAACACAAUAAGUACUCCGCCUGGGAAGUACGAUCGCAAGAUUAAAACUCAAAUGAA
RNAcentral lists this ribosomal RNA (536 nucleotides) under uncultured bacterium. RNAcentral describes it as "partial 16S ribosomal RNA". It matches the Rfam family "Bacterial small subunit ribosomal RNA", at positions 355 to 909 of the family's 1533-position model. The record is from RNAcentral.